Molecule: ribosomal RNA, 374 nt
Filed under: uncultured organism
Description: partial 16S ribosomal RNA
Rfam family: Bacterial small subunit ribosomal RNA
Source: RNAcentral
GUAGGUGGCAAGCGGUGUCCGGAAUUAUUGGGCGUAAAGCGCGCGCAGGCGGUUCUUUAAGUCUGAUGUGAAAGCCCACGGCUCAACCGUGGAGGGUCAUUGGAAACUGGAGAACUUGAGUACAGAAGAGGAAAGCGGAAUUCCACGUGUAGCGGUGAAAUGCGUAGAGAUGUGGAGGAACACCAGUGGCGAAGGCGGCUUUCUGGUCUGUAACUGACGCUGAGGCGCGAAAGCGUGGGGAGCAAACAGGAUUAGAUACCCUGGUAGUCCACGCCGUAAACGAUGAGUGCUAAGUGUUAGGGGGGUUUUCCGCCCCCCUUAGUGCUGCAGCUAACGCAUUAAGCACUCCGCCUGGGAGUACGGCCGCAAGGCUG